This 7803-nucleotide long non-coding RNA is filed under the name Phaseolus vulgaris (common bean). Its description in RNAcentral is "long non-coding RNA (PVUL_LNC004269)". The record is from RNAcentral. Lineage: Eukaryota; Viridiplantae; Streptophyta; Magnoliopsida; Fabales; Fabaceae.
ACUGUAGUGAUAAUCUUGAGAAUUUCUGUUCAAAAUUGGUUCUGACGUAUGGAUCGAAGGAUAUCGAUGGAAGCAUCACACAAGGAGGGUAUUCUGAUAUGGUGGUUGUAGAUGAACACUUUGUGAUCAGCAUUCCUGAUGGCUUACCUCUUGAGGCUGCUGCUCCUCUCUUAUGUGCUGGGAUCACUGUCUAUAGCCCUCUCUUAUAUUUUGGACUUGCAAAGCCAGAUCUGCAUGUGGGUGUUGUUGGUCUUGGUGGUGUUGGCCAUAUGGCUGUGAAGUUUGCCAAAGCUUUUGGGGCUAAGGUCACUGUAAUCAGCACAUCUCCCAACAAAAAGAAGGAAGCCAUUGAGCAUCUUGGAGCUGACUCAUUUCUCAUCAGUCGUAAUCAAGAUGAGAUGGAGGUAUUUACCCUUUCGAACCUUUCCAUAAUUCUUGUAUAAAACUGUUAUCAAACCCAAAUCAUAAUCAUUUAUGUUACAUAGAUUAUGUAUCAAUAAAUAGUAUGGUUUAAAUUCUGUUUUGCAUUACUUUAAUUUUUGUAUCUGUGAGGAACAGUUUCUUUCUAAUGGUCAUUUUUCUACUUAGGCUGCAAAGGGCACCCUGGAUGGUAUCAUAGACACAGUUUCUGCAGUGCAUCCUCUGCUCCCUCUGAUUAAUUUGCUGAAGAGUCAAGGGAAAAUUGUGAUAGUUGGUCUACCUGAUAAGCCUUUGGAACUACCCAUCUUUCCUUUACUAGGUAUGCAUGCAACUGAAUUCAAAUUAACUACUAAUUUUGAUAAUGAUUGUGAACAUUGUUGCAAUGAAAAGAAGUAAAUAUUGCAUUUGGGUUGCAGAUAGAAAGAGUGUAGCUGGGAGUUGCAUUGGAGGAAUUAAGGAGACUCAAGAAAUGAUUAAUUAUGCUGCCAAAUACGAUAUAAAGCCUGAUAUUGAGAUUAUUCCUAUUGAUUAUGUAAACACAGCAAUGGAGCGUCUCCUCAAAUCAGAUGUCAAAUAUCGAUUUGUUAUUGACAUUGGCAACACACUCAAGUCAAGUUCUUAAUAUUUUCAUCAUCCCUUUUGCUUUAAAUAAGGAUCUUGCCUAUGUUGUCCACUCCAUAUUUAGUUUCAUUGGAAGUUUUACUGUGUGCUUUUGGAUUUAGCCAGUGAAUGGGAUUGAUGUAGUUGCUAUCUUAAUAUAUAUUACGUCAUUAAUAAUUAUAUUUAGGGAUGUAUUUAGACUUUGUUGCAAAUUUAAAUAUUUAAAGGUUAAUGCUUAUCGAGAUUAUGAUACAAUUCUUAUUUCCUGGUUUCUUUUUAAUUCUUUCAUUUUCUUUACAAAUAAUUUUGUAAAACCUAGGUUUACAUUCAAUAUAUUAUAAAAAUGUCUUGAUAUUUAAUUAAGUAUUAUAUUAUAAAAUUUCUUUAGUUUUAAUUAAGUAUUAUAUUAUGAAAUGUUUUUAUAUUUAGUCAAGUAAUGUGUAAAAAUAAAAUUUAAAUUUAUACUUAAUUUAUAUAUUAUGGAAUGUUUUUUUAUGUUGAUUUAUUUGCAGUAAUUUCUUUGAUGCUUUAUGGCUUUUAUUUGCUUUUCAUGUUAAUGAAGUAUGUUGUCAUGCGCAAAAGGUUUGGGAUAUACAUGGUACAGUGUCGUUUGCCAUUGAUUUGGGAGAAUACGUAGGAUUUAGAAAGUCAUGGUUGUUUGUUUUACAAUCAGGCCCAUUUUGCUUUGUGGCCCAAAUUUCUUAUAUACGUACCCCUUUUGCUUUUUUCCCAAAGAGCCUGGGCCCAUUAGACUAGCCCAGCCUUUCUGCUAUUUGCCACUCGAGUUUGUUAUGCAUUCAUCAGUUUCUUAAAAUCCGGGCCAACUUAUUUUGUCCUGCAUUUUUGUUAUUCGGCACUUCCUUUUUCAUAUUUCCACCAUCAGCUUUCUUAAACAAUAUUAGCCCACAUGUUUGGUCCAAUAUUUAUACUAUUUGCUACCCAUUUUUUAUAUUGACAACUACCAACAGUUUUUUUGUGAUAAGUAAAUUAAAAUUAAUUAAAAAAUUUAUAAUUUUGGACACUUAUUAUAUGUCUAAUAUUUAUAAAUUUACUAUAUAUUAAUUGAAAAAAAUAUCAUUAUUAUAAACUUAUAAUAUAUAUUAUUAUAGAUAAUAUUUAAAAAAGUGGAUACACAACGACAAUACAUGUAAAUAAUGUCUGUGUUAUAUUAAAUAGGCCAACAUUGCAAGAUAUAAAUGAGUAUUUUUUUGGUUUGUAGUCAUCUUUGUGUAAUGCAUAUGAGUAUUCCUAUUCCCUUCUAACUAACCCAUCAACUAUUCUUUAAAACUAGUUUCUCUUACCUCAUUAAAAGUAUGAGUACUCAUAAAUAUUUUUAACUCCUAAAAAAAAUAAGGAUAAAUGAUCUUCAUCAAUGAUCUGAAUAUAUUACUAAAACCCUAAAUCAGCACACGCAUUCCCUUCACGAAAAAAUAUGAGUAACCCUAAACCUGAUUUUUCCACAGUAAUUAAGACAAUCAUCGAUUAUGAAGAAUCCAAGGUACAUUGGUCCUAACAGGAAACACAGCUCAACCCAAAGCAGAAUCACAUUCCAGCUAGGCAUUAGUAAGUUGCAUUUUUUUAGCUUCCUCCAAAGCAUGUAUAAUCUCAUAAAACUCAGCAACCAGAACAAUAUGAACUUCAAGAAACGCAGAAAAAGCUCCAAUAUACUCCCACGAAAAAUAACUCCACAAGUAACAAGAUCAGGAUAUCUUCUAGCAGCCCCAUCAAUGUUAAUUUUAACCCAACCUGAUGAAGGAAAUUCUCGUCUAACGGACCAUAAAAGAACUUAUUCUAAACAAAAUUUUGAUAAAAAUAACUUUACUCUAAUCAUUGAAAUCCAAAAGUGACCUAAAGACCUGAUAAAAAAUCUAGAAAAAAAACAUAGAAAAGAAGUUCUUUAAAAAAUUUGUUCUUUUAAAAUAAAACAUAAAUAACUAAUUUUUUGAUAUUAAUAAUAAAAUAUUAAGAUACUAUUUUAAUUAUAUAAUUUAAUAUAAAACUAUUUUUUAAUCCUUACACAUUAAUUAUAUAUAUAUUAUAAAUUUUAUUUUACUUAUUUUUACUCAUUACUCUCAAUUUAAAUAGUCUGUCUUUUUAUUAGUUUUUCCUUUCUUUAUUUUUUUAAUCUUCACCCAAUCGAGUAAAAUGUUAAUUCAAACAAAAACUCAUACUUUAUUGAUAAAAACAUCAAUAAAAAUAAAGGUCAUAAGAAGAAUAAAAUAUUUUAGAAAAAAAAGGAUGAAGGACAACAAAUACAAAAUUUUAAAAUAUAGAAAGUUACUUUUUACUCCUAGGAAUUUUUGUUUUUAUUAUAUAAAGUGAAGGAUAUAAUAGUUAUAAUACAAUUCAAAUAAUUUAUCCCCUAAAUCAAUUAAAUUAAAGUUUUAAAAUAGUUUUAUUAAUUUAUUAAACAAGUAAUAAUUUGAUUUUUAUUUAUUUUUUCAUUUUUGUCAAUUUUCAUCUUUUUCUUUUUUUCGUCUGAAUCAAAUAUAUCCUUUUACAAAAUAUUAAGUACUUAUGAAUCAUUGGAAGUCUUACAUUAUACCAUUAUACUAAUAAUUGAUAUAUUGAUACGAUUAUCUAAACUUUAGAAAAUACCCUAACAAAAACAAAUAAUUAAUCAUCUCUUAAAUAGUGAAAAAAAAAAUACUAUCAUUGCAUUUUGAUUAGAUUAAAAAAUAAACAUAUUACUUUUAACAAGAACAAUUCUUAAAUUAUUAAUCUAUGAAUAAGUUCUACGUCCUCAUAUGGAAGUUUUCUUCAUCAGGCUGGGUUAAAGUUAACAUUGAUGAGACUGCUAGGGAUAUCCUGGUCUUGUUACUUGUGGAGGUAUUUUUCGUGGGAGUAUGAGAGAAUUUAUUGGAACUUUUUGUGCGUUUACUGCUAUGACAAAUGUUCACUGGAUGUUUCGUAAUCGAUGAAAUACUUGUCUUAAUUACUGUAAGAAAAUUAGGUUUAGGGUUACUCAUACUUUUCGUGAAGGAAGUGUGUGUGCUGAUAAGUUGACUAAUUUAGGAUUUAUUCAUAGAGAAUCUUUUCAUUGAUAUUAUAUGCUUCCAUCUUGUUUGUUCUUAAAAUUCUUUAUGAAUAGGUAUAGUCUACCUAUAUAUCGUUUUUAUUAACAUAUGAUUUUUGGUCUAUUCCCGUAUUUUUUGUAUUUUCUUUCUUUUUUCUUUCUUUAAUAAUAUUUUUUUCAUGUGAUGACAAAUAAUUUUUUUGUUACUUGAAGUGUUAGCUUAACCGAGAUCUUAAGUUGCAUAGUGAUGUCUAACACAAAAACUUUUAUUUAAAAAAAAUAAGUGAAAAGUAUUCUCACCCUUAAUGCUUUGGAUUAGGAAGUAAAAAAUUGAGGGUGUGGGGAAGUGAAAAUGUGAAGAUUUGAGAAGAAAGUGUGAAGAAAGUUGAGGGUGUUUGGAUUGAGAUAUGUUAGAGUAAAUGUGUGAAGAAAGUUUAUUGAAAUAUGUGAGUAAUUUAAUGGUUGUAAAAAUAUUUUAAAUUAUUUUUAAUUGUGUAAAUUAUAAGAUUAUAAAUUUAACUUUGUGUAUAAAAAUAAGAAAUAAAUGAUAAUUACUUUUGUUAUUAUACUAAUAUUUUUUUAUUAUAAAUAUAUUUAUAUUUUAAGGUAUAUAAGUAUUUUUUAUUUUCAUUAUGAAUAUAUUAAAUAUUUUUUGAAUAUUUAUAGUUUACAUGAAAUAAAAUCAAAUAAAAUUAAGUAAUUUAAAUUAUUUUUUAUUAUAUAUAAAAGAUAAAAAUGUAAAUUUAUAAAUGCUUAUGUAACUUUUUCUUCUUUCAUGCAAAGCAUCUAAAAACAUUCAUCUCCCCUUACAUGCCUAACUGAGUUUUUGUUUAAUAUUAUACAAUAAAUAAAUUAGAUAAUAAGAUUAUUAAUUUUGAUCCACUCGUUAUAGUUGCGUCUUUGAAUCAACUGAUUAUCUAGCCUCGAAAAACACGUGCAUGCAUUGCAGCAGAGAAUAACAUUUUUCUGAGCAAGUGUGGACCACGCACCUCACAAAAUUCUAACCUACAUAAAACUUUUAAAUUUUCGAGGAUGAACUGUAAUACUUUGUUUCUUUCAAUAAAGUUAUUUUUUAAUAUCAUUGCUCCAGAACUAAUUAUAAUAAUAUAAUACUAUAAAUAUUUAAAUUCAUAACUUACGUUUUAAAUAUUAUAUUAUUAGAAUAAAAUUUCUACCAAGUUAAAUAUAAAGUAAAAGUUAUUAAAAUAUUAUUAUUUUAUUUAUUGGUACUUAUUUACUUGUUUUUACUAAAGAUGAAUAGGCAUAGAAACUAUUGUUUUGGAUACAUGAUUUAAUACCAAGUAAAAGAAAUCUACACUUUCUUUUUCUGUCUCACCCUUGUUUAUUGUACUUUAAAAUUACUUUUUACUUUAAUUUAUAUUUUAAAAUUUUGAAAUGAUUUUAUUUAAAAUUUCACAAAAAUCUUUAACGGAGUAUCCACAAGUAUCAAACCACAUUUUCAUAUCGAAAAUUCCACAAUUAUUUUUAAAAGAUACCAAAUUGAUAAGAAAAUAGGUUUUUUAAAUAUAUAUAGUUAUAUUCAAAUUUUAAUAUAAAAUACUUUAUUACAUUAUUUUUAUUUUUUGAUAUAAAUCUUCUCAUAUACACUUUUAUUAUAUUUACACUUUUUUUCCUAAUACAAAUAAUUGAUUUUUUUUCCUGUUUUUCUUAGUUACUCUUCCCUUGAUAUAUGUGGGAAUGAAAACGUUUUUCUUUUCUUUUUAUGAGCUGGGAAUGAAAACGUGGAAAGUAUGCUUAAGAAAAACCAGAAUAAUGAUUCAUAUAUGUUUUUUCUAUGGCCCUUAUAAAUACAUAUUUGUAUAAUUAAAAAAAUAGUUUAUAUAAACAAUAUUCCUAUGAAACAAUUAUUACCUCCCAACAACUGUUUCAUCUACCCAACAUCUCUAUUAUGAGUCACUUAGAAACACCAACAAUUAAUUCUUCACUUCCAAACAUACCAGAUUCUCAAUUGCUAUGAAAUAAACACUAAGUGAUGCAUACCAACACUAAAAUAAACUAUUAAAUAAUAAAUAAAUUUAAAAACAAAAAUAAUUCAUUACUAUAUUAAUUAAAUUUAAUAUUAUUUUAUUAUCAAUAAAAAGUUUAAAAUAUUUUUAAUUAGUAUUUAAAUUAGUUAUCUAAUUUUUAGUAAUUAAUAUUUUAAUUUUAAAUUAGUGUUUAAAAAUAUUAAUAAAAAUUAAUUUAAAAUAUAAAAUAAUAAAUAACUAAUAGUUAAAUAUCAAUUUAAAAUUAUUUUAUAAUUUUUAUUAAAAUAUAAACUACUUUAAAUAUUAAUAAUUUUUUUUAUAAAAUAGUUUUUAAUUUAAUCAAAUAAUAACUAAUUAUUUUAACCUUUAAAAUUAAUUUUCAUUUAAUAAUUUUCUUAUAAUAGACGACCUUCAAUUUGUCAAUUUGGUUGUAUAAUCUUCUUCAAUUAUGCUCUAAUAUAGUGUUAGAUCACAAAAUAUGCUAAUAUGUAUAACUUUAAAUGUAGAGUCUCUUUCUUUAUAGGUUCCACCCUCAACAGUAACAAUGAAAACAACACUUCACAUUAUAAUAAAUUAUUUUAUUAUUAUUUUAUUUUAUUUUUUAAUUUAAAAAUAUUAUUAUAAUAUGUUUUUCGAGUGUCAACAAAACGUCACCCUUCUCUUCUUCUUUAUAUAUUGGAACAUGUAUAAUUUUCACUGGCAACAGUAAUAUUAUAUGAUAUCUCUUUUGAGAGUUUCCAAGAAACAUUUUCCAAAAAAGACAUGAAAAGCGAAACACAGUGAGCACUUUUCGUAUUAAUAAUUGAAUAGGUGAAGCAUUGUGAAUCACAUAUCUCAUCUUUGAGUGCCUAUAAGAGUUACACCCGUGAUCAUUGUGUUCCUUCAGAAUUGAGUAGAACACAUUCAAAUGGCUGUUACACCAGGACUGGAGCAUGCAAGGAAGGCUAUUGGAUGGGCAGCUAGAGACACAUCUGGGGUUCUCUCCCCCUUCAACUUCACCAGAAGGUACUCAUUUCAACCUCUUCAAUUUUCCAACUUCAAAAAUGUUUCAUGCUUCUCAUGUUCUCUUUUCUAAUGGGGUAGGGAAACAGGAGACAAAGAUGUAGCAAUCAAAGUGUUGUUCUGCGGUGUAUGCCACAGUGAUCUCCAUAAUGCAAAGAGUGAUUGGGGUCAAUCUUUUUAUCCACUCGUACCAGGGUAUGCUAAUGCUUCCUCCACUUUUUUAACUCUGUUUCAACAAGCUUCAAACACAAAUUUCUGAAACAAGAAAGAGUUCUGUAACUUUGUUGACAUAAAUAGUUCAUAGUAUGAUUUGAAAAGAUGAAAAGGAAAUGUUAAUUAGAUUGUUUCUAAUUUGAGUACCAAAAACGUAGGCACGAGAUUGCAGGUGAAGUGAUAGAGGUAGGAAGCAAAGUUGGAAAGUUCAAAGUGGGUGAGAAGGUGGGUGUGGGGUGCAUGGUUCAAUCAUGUAGAUCAUGCAAAAGCUGUGGUGAGAAUCUUGAGAAUUACUGUCAAGGAAUGGUUCUGACGUAUGGAUCGAAGGAUAUUGAUGGAAGCAUCACACAAGGAGGGUACUCUGAUAUGGUGGUUGUAGAUGAACACUUUGUGAUCAGCAUUCCUGAUGGCCUACCUCUUGAGGCUGCUGCUCCUCUUUUAUGUGCUGGGAUCACUGUCUAUAGCCCUCUCUUAUAUUUUGGACUUGCAAAGCCAGAUCUACAUGUGGGUGUUGUUGGUCUUGGUGGUGUUGGCCAUAUGGCUGUGAAGUUUGCCAAAUCUUUU